CAUGGCUCAGAUUGAACGCUGGCGGCAGGCUUAACACAUGCAAGUCGAACGGUAACAGGAAGAAAGCUUGCUUUCUUUGCUGACGAGUGGCGGACGGGUGAGUAAUGCUUGGGAAUCUGGCUUAUGGAGGGGGAUAACUACGGGAAACUGUAGCUAAUACCGCGUAAUAUCGAGAGAUUAAAGGGUGGGACCGCAAGGCCACCUGCCAUGAGAUGAGCCCAAGUGGGAUUAGGUAGUUGGUGAGGUAAAGGCUCACCAAGCCGACGAUCUCUAGCUGGUCUGAGAGGAUGACCAGCCACACUGGAACUGAGACACGGUCCAGACUCCUACGG
This 332-nucleotide ribosomal RNA is filed under the name uncultured bacterium. Its description in RNAcentral is "bacterial SSU rRNA". It matches the Rfam family "Bacterial small subunit ribosomal RNA", at positions 18 to 344 of the family's 1533-position model. The record is from RNAcentral.